Molecule: ribosomal RNA, 403 nt
Filed under: uncultured bacterium
Lineage: Bacteria
Description: bacterial SSU rRNA
Rfam family: Bacterial small subunit ribosomal RNA
Source: RNAcentral
UGGGGAAUCUUGCGCAAUGGGGGCAACCCUGACGCAGCGACCCCGCGUGCGGGACGAAGGCCUUCGGGUCGUAAACCGCUUUCAGCAGGGACGAGUCAAGACGGUACCUGCAGAAGAAGCCCCGGCUAACUACGUGCCAGCAGCCGCGGUAAUACGUAGGGGGCGAGCGUUAUCCGGAUUCAUUGGGCGUAAAGCGCGCGUAGGCGGCCGCGUAGGCGGGGGGUCAAAUCCCGGGGCUCAACCCCGGUCCGCCCCCCGAACCCCGCGGCUCGGGUCCGGUAGGGGAGGGUGGAAUUCCCGGUGUAGCGGUGGAAUGCGCAGAUAUCGGGAGGAACACCGGUGGCGAAGGCGGCCCUCUGGGCCGAGACCGACGCUGAGGCGCGAAAGCUGGGGGAGCGAACAG